RNAcentral lists this long non-coding RNA (1439 nucleotides) under Helianthus annuus (common sunflower). Its description in RNAcentral is "hypothetical non coding rna". Lineage: Eukaryota; Viridiplantae; Streptophyta; Magnoliopsida; Asterales; Asteraceae. The record is from RNAcentral.
UGGACGUGCGAACGAGAGAAGGAACCAAGGGAACCAAAACCCUAAACAACCUAAAAUCAUCAAAUUGAAAGGGGGAUCGAGGGCUGAUUGAAUGCAUGAGUCUAGAUACCCUUUAAUCUAAGUGUAUUGAUCAUAAGGAACGUGUCAAGGAGAGCUCAAGCAUAGGAGGAUAACGGGUCAAGAUAAGGCAAGGUGACAAAUACACUUAUUGGAAUACUCAAGGUGAUGAAUGUCGGACUUUCGAAGUGUUGAUAUAAUAAUGAAACGGUUGAAUGUUGAAAGGAUAAUCGGACUGAAGUAACUUAUGCGGUAAAUCCUCAAUUUUGGCGACUUGGAGAAUCGGAGCGAGCGCGUGUUCGUGUUAUGCGAUACCAAACGCUUCCGCUAGUUUGUUCAAAUGUUUUUGACCCAAAAUUUGUUGUAUUGGUUUUUAGUAGUAUCUUGUUGAACGAAUUGUAGAAUUGUAUCUAGUUUGUUUAUGUUUAAAACAGGGGUAUGCUCGUUUUAUGGACGGGUCAUGCCCGAUUUUUUGUUAAAUUAUAGUUUGAUAAUAUCACAUUUAGGAAGGUGAAAUUUUGGGCGUAACAUCUUCAGAAACGAAAAUGAACUAACGGAGUCAUUUUCAACGGUUGCUUCAUCAGAGUUGGAAAUGAAGGUUUACACAACGGAUAUUCAUUUCCUCAACGGGUAAAUCUUCAGAAACGAAAAUGAACUAACGGAGUCAUUUUCAACGGUUGCUUCCUCAGAGUUGGAAAUGAAGGAUUACACAACGGAUAUUCAUUUCCUCAACGGAUAAUCUUCAGAAACGAAAAUGAACUAACGGAGUCAUCUUCAACGGUUGCUUCCUCAGAGUUGGAAAUGAAGGAUUACACAACGGAUAUUCAUUUCCUCAACGGAUAAAUCUUCAGAAACGAAAAUGAGCUAACGGAGUCAUCUUCAACGGUUGCUUCCUCAGAGUUGGAAAUGAAGGAUUACACAACGGAUAUUCAUUUCCUCAACGGAUAAUCUUCAGAAACGAAAAUGAACAAACGGGGUCAUCUUCAACGGGUAUUCUUCAGAUUUGGAAAUGAAGGAUAAACGGAUAUUCAUUUCCUCAACGGAUAAAUCUUCAGAACGAAAAUGAACAAACGGAGUCAUUUUCCUCAACGAGUAUUCUUCAGAUUUGGAAAUGAAGGAUAAACGGAUAUUCAUUUCCUCAACGGAUAUUCUUCAGAAGUGAAAAAUGAAUAGCUAGUUCAUUUUUCCUCAACGGAUGCUUCAUCAGAAUUGGAAAUGAAUAGGGUUAACUCUAGACACAUGACAGAACUUGCUGUGAUUUCUGUGCACUAAAUUCCAUAAUUAUGUAUGCAUCCAUAAUUACGUAAUCCCUUGCACAGUCCGCACAGUUUGUUUUGUAAUGUUUUGGGGAAGGAUAUCAAACUUGUGACGAGGGUGACUAG